Molecule: unclassified non-coding RNA, 253 nt
Filed under: uncultured Bacteriovoracaceae bacterium
Lineage: Bacteria; Pseudomonadati; Bdellovibrionota; Bacteriovoracia; Bacteriovoracales; Bacteriovoracaceae
Description: contains 16S-23S intergenic spacer region
Rfam family: Bacterial small subunit ribosomal RNA
Source: RNAcentral
UACGAAGGGUGCAAGCGUUGUUCGGAAUCAUUGGGCGUAAAGGGCGUGUAGGCGGAUUCGCAAGUCAGGUGUGAAAGCCCGGGGCUUAACUUCGGACGUGCGCCUGAAACUGCGGAUCUAGAGUCCUAGAGAGGAAAGCGGAAUUCCACAUGUAGAGGUGAAAUUCGUAGAGAUGUGGAGGAACACCAGUGGCGAAAGCGGCUUUCUGGAUAGUGACUGACGCUGAUACGCGAAAGCGUGGGGAGCAAACAGG